RNAcentral lists this ribosomal RNA (251 nucleotides) under uncultured prokaryote. RNAcentral's name for it is "partial 16S rRNA". It matches the Rfam family "Bacterial small subunit ribosomal RNA", at positions 525 to 775 of the family's 1533-position model. The record is from RNAcentral.
ACGGAGGGUGCAAGCGUUGUUCGGAAUUACUGGGCGUAAAGGGCGCGUAGGUGGUUGUGUAAGUCAGAUGUGAAAUCCUUAGGCUUAACCUGAGAACUGCAUCUGAUACUGCAUGACUCGAGUACAGCAGAGGGAAACGGAAUUCCUGGUGUGGAGGUGACAGUCGUAGAUAUCAGGAGGAACACCGGUGGCGUAGGCGGUUACCUGGACUGAUACUGACACUGAGGCGCGUAAGCGUGGGGUGAGAUCAG